This 113-nucleotide ribosomal RNA is filed under the name Acanthosepion pharaonis. The record is from RNAcentral. Lineage: Eukaryota; Metazoa; Mollusca; Cephalopoda; Sepiida; Sepiidae.
UAUGGCCACAUCACGUUAAAACAGCGAUUCUCGUACGAUCUCCGAAGUUAAGCAAUGUCGAGCUUGGUCGGUACCUAGAUGGGUGACCGCUUGGGAAUACCAGAUACUGUAAG